RNAcentral lists this transfer RNA (81 nucleotides) under Bos taurus (domestic cattle). It matches the Rfam family "tRNA". Rfam says of the family: Transfer RNA (tRNA) molecules are approximately 80 nucleotides in length. Their secondary structure includes four short double-helical elements and three loops (D, anti-codon, and T loops). Lineage: Eukaryota; Metazoa; Chordata; Mammalia; Artiodactyla; Bovidae. The record is from Rfam by way of RNAcentral.
UCCCUGAUGGCUCAGUGGUAAAGAAUCUGCCUUCCAGUGCAGGAGAUGCAGGAGACACAGGUUCAAUCCCUGAUCUGGGAA